Trichonephila inaurata madagascariensis is the source of this 84-nucleotide non-coding RNA. Lineage: Eukaryota; Metazoa; Arthropoda; Arachnida; Araneae; Nephilidae. The record is from the annotation of a GenBank genome assembly.
CUCUUUGUGUCCCCAAAUACAAAUUUGGGGUUGUGGGUUGGACUUCUAAUCCAAAGGUUAUGGGUUCGAAUCGCACCAAGGAUG